UACGUAGGGGGCAAGCGUUAUCCGGAAUUACUGGGUGUAAAGGGAGCGUAGACGGUAAUGUAAGUCUGGAGUGAAAGGCGGGGGCCCAACCCCCGGACUGCUCUGGAAACUAUGUUACUAGAGUGCAGGAGAGGUAAGCGGAAUUCCUGGUGUAGCGGUGAAAUGCGUAGAUAUAUGGAGGAACACCGGUGGCGAAAGCGGCUCUCUGGCCUGUAACUGACGCUGAGGCUCGAAAGCGUGGGGAGCAAACAGG
This 253-nucleotide ribosomal RNA is filed under the name uncultured bacterium. RNAcentral describes it as "partial 16S ribosomal RNA". It matches the Rfam family "Bacterial small subunit ribosomal RNA", at positions 524 to 776 of the family's 1533-position model. The record is from RNAcentral.